This 425-nucleotide ribosomal RNA is filed under the name uncultured bacterium. RNAcentral's name for it is "partial 16S ribosomal RNA". It matches the Rfam family "Bacterial small subunit ribosomal RNA", at positions 354 to 796 of the family's 1533-position model. The record is from RNAcentral.
GUGGGGAAUCUUAGACAAUGGGGGAAACCCUGAUCUAGCCAUGCCGCGUGAGCGAUGAAGGCCUUAGGGUUGUAAAGCUCUUUCAGCUGGGAAGAUAAUGACGGUACCACCAGAAGAAGCCCCGGCUAACUCCGUGCCAGCAGCCGCGGUAAUACGGAGGGGGCUAGCGUUGUUCGGAAUUACUGGGCGUAAAGCGCACGUAGGCGGAUUGGAAAGUUGGGGGUGAAAUCCAGGGGCUCAACCCCGGAACUGCCUUCAAAACUCCCAGUCUUGAGUUCGAGAGAGGUGAGUGGAAUUCCGAGUGUAGAGGUGAAAUUCGUAGAUAUUCGGAGGAACACCAGUGGCGAAGGCGGCUCACUGGCUCGAUACUGACGCUGAGGUGCGAAAGCGUGGGGAGCAAACAGGAUUAGAAACCCGAGUAGUCC